This is a long non-coding RNA of Homo sapiens (human), 222 nucleotides long. The record is from Ensembl. NCBI's taxonomy places the organism in Eukaryota, Metazoa, Chordata, Mammalia, Primates, Hominidae.
ACUGUUGCAGAAGAUCUAUCCUUAAGAGGCAGAAACAUCUGCGGUGAGGAAGGCAGCUAUUGAAGGUAUUCCAGGAGCAUGAGACUGAGUUUGCAGAGCUGAGGGUUGUCAAUUUCCUUUUCUACUGAUAUCUUCUUCCUUUAGAGCAAACUUCCUCCUUAGGACCUCAGAGAUAAGCACAGCAGGGUCUUCCUCCUUCAAUAAACUCCGGUUCCUAGAGAC